Molecule: ribosomal RNA, 591 nt
Filed under: Entoloma poliopus
Lineage: Eukaryota; Fungi; Basidiomycota; Agaricomycetes; Agaricales; Entolomataceae
Description: partial small subunit ribosomal RNA
Rfam family: Bacterial small subunit ribosomal RNA
Source: RNAcentral
GAAUAUUAGUCAAUGCUCGCAAGAGUGAACUAGCUAACUGAAAUCACAGGAACCACUAUGUGUGGUGAAUGUAAUAACGUAAGGGAAAAAAAUGAUAUUACCUUACUAUUAGUGUUGUCCAAAACUGGUGCCAGAAGACUCGGUAAGGCCAGAGACGCAAACGUUAGUCGUCCUAAUCAGGCGUAAAGGGUAUGUAGGCUGCUUUAAAAUUUUAUAGUAAUAUAGCUAUGUAAAUAAUUUUAUUUACAAUUAAAUUAUAGAAUUAAUUAAAGCUAGAAUCAAAUUGAGGAUAAAUCAAAUAAUACCUAGUGUAGGGUUUGAAUCUGACGAUAUUAGGUAGAGUACUAAUGGUGAAAGCUUUUUAUCUAGAAAUGAUUGACGCUGAGAAACGAAGGUGAGAAUAGGAAAUAGGAUUAGAUACCCAGAUACCUCUCACAGUCAACGAUGAAUGGUGGUUGUUAGUUAGUUUAUAUUUAACUGAUAACGAUGUUAACACGAUAACCAUUCCGCCUUGCGAGUACGGUUGCAAAACUGAAACCAAAAAAAUUAGUCGGUCUCGAAGCAAACGAAGUGAAGCAUGUUAUUUAAUUC